AAGAAUACAAAGUGCAGUUAUUAUUUUUUGAAUAGAUGAUAAACCAAGACGACCACAAGCAUCUCUUUUCCGAAUUAAGUAUGUAUUAUGAUUUUCAACAUCAUUCAAAAUGCGAAAAAAUUACUCUUUUCGCAUCCUGUAACGUCUGCAAAAAAAAUAAGGUGGAAAAGUACAAUUUUCAGAAAAACAAUCGUUCCAUAAAAGUUGAUGACUUCGCUCACGAUCACGAUUGAUAUAUUGUCGUUGAUGUGGGUUUUCCUCUAUGGCAGAUAAUACUCCAUGAAUAAAAUUGAACAUUUCUUGAGUUUGUUUCUCCAUGCGAAUAGAAAUAAGUUCUUCCUCUGAAGAAGAGGAU
This 355-nucleotide long non-coding RNA is filed under the name Erythranthe guttata (spotted monkey flower). RNAcentral's name for it is "long non-coding RNA (EGUT_LNC002466)". The record is from RNAcentral. Lineage: Eukaryota; Viridiplantae; Streptophyta; Magnoliopsida; Lamiales; Phrymaceae.